UGGGUUGUAGCUCAGUGGUAGAGUGCUUGCCUCGAAUGCAUGAGGCACUGGGUUUGAUCCUCAGCACCACUU
RNAcentral lists this transfer RNA (72 nucleotides) under Marmota marmota marmota (Alpine marmot). It matches the Rfam family "tRNA". From Rfam's summary of the family: Transfer RNA (tRNA) molecules are approximately 80 nucleotides in length. Their secondary structure includes four short double-helical elements and three loops (D, anti-codon, and T loops). Further hydrogen bonds mediate the characteristic L-shaped molecular structure. tRNAs have two regions of fundamental functional importance: the anti-codon, which is responsible for specific mRNA codon recognition, and the 3' end, to which the tRNAs corresponding amino acid is attached (by aminoacyl-tRNA synthetases). tRNAs cope with the degeneracy of the genetic code in two manners: having more than one tRNA (with a specific anti-codon) for a particular amino acid; and 'wobble' base-pairing, i.e. permitting non-standard base-pairing at the 3rd anti-codon position. RNAcentral also lists the same sequence under 4 other names. Lineage: Eukaryota; Metazoa; Chordata; Mammalia; Rodentia; Sciuridae. The record is from Rfam by way of RNAcentral.